GACGAACGCUGGCGGCGUGCUUAACACAUGCAAGUCGAACGGAAAGGCCCUGCUUUUGUGGGGUGCUCGAGUGGCGAACGGGUGAGUAACACGUGAGUAACCUGCCCUUGACUUUGGGAUAACUUCAGGAAACUGGGGCUAAUACCGGAUAGGAGCUCCUGCUGCAUGGUGGGGGUUGGAAAGUUUCGGCGGUUGGGGAUGGACUCGCGGCUUAUCAGCUUGUUGGUGGGGUAGUGGCUUACCAAGCCUUUGACGGGUAGCCGGCCUGAGAGGGGGACCGGCCACAUUGGGACUGCGAGACGGCCCAGACUGCUACGGGAGGCAGCAGUGGGGAAUAUUGCACAAUGGGCGGAAGCCUGAUGCAGCAACGCCGCGUGCGGGAUGACGGCCUUCGGGGUGUAAACCGCUUUCGCCUGUGACGAAGCGUGAGUGACGGUAAUGGGUAAAGAAGCACCGGCUAACUACGUG
RNAcentral lists this ribosomal RNA (468 nucleotides) under uncultured bacterium. RNAcentral's name for it is "partial 16S ribosomal RNA". It matches the Rfam family "Bacterial small subunit ribosomal RNA", at positions 28 to 507 of the family's 1533-position model. The record is from RNAcentral.